GACGAACGCUGGCGGCGUGCUUAACACAUGCAAGUCGAACGGAAAGGCCCUGCUUUUGUGGGGUGCUCGAGUGGCGAACGGGUGAGUAACACGUGAGUAACCUGCCCUUGACUUUGGGAUAACUUCAGGAAACUGGGGCUAAUACCGGAUAGGAGCUCCUGCUGCAUGGUGGGGGUUGGAAAGUUUCGGCGGUUGGGGAUGGACUCGCGGCUUAUCAGCUUGUUGGUGGGGUAGUGGCUUACCAAGGCUUUGACGGGUAGCCGGCCUGAGAGGGCGACCGGCCACAUUGGGACUGAGAUACGGCCUAGACUCCUACGGGAGGCAGCAGUGGGGAAUAUUGCACAAUGGGCGGAAGCCUGAUGCAGCAACGCCGCGUGCGGGAUGACGGCCUUCGGGUUGUAAACCGCUUUCGCCUGUGACGAAGCGUGAGUGACGGUAAUGGGUAAAGAAGCACCGGCUAACUACGUG
This 468-nucleotide ribosomal RNA is filed under the name uncultured bacterium. RNAcentral's name for it is "partial 16S ribosomal RNA". It matches the Rfam family "Bacterial small subunit ribosomal RNA", at positions 28 to 507 of the family's 1533-position model. The record is from RNAcentral.